CCUACGGGGGACAGCAGUGGGGAAUAUUGCACAAUGGGGGAAACCCUGAUGCAGCGACGCCGCGUGAGUGAAGAAGUAAUUCGUUAUGUAAAGCUCUUUUGUCGGGGAGCAAAAGCCGGACGUGUCCGGCUGUGAGAGUACCCGAAGAAAAAGCAUCGGCUAACUCCGUGCCAGCAGCCGCGGUAAUACGGAGGAUGCGAGCGUUAUCCGGAUUUAUUGGGUUUAAAGGGUGCGCAGGCGGAUUUUUAAGUCAGCGGUCAAAUCGUGGGGCUCAACCCCAUCCAGCCGUUGAAACUGGGGAUCUAGAGUGUGCGAGAGGUAUGCGGAAUGCGUGGUGUAGCGGUGAAAUGCAUAGAUAUCACGCAGAACCCCGAUUGCGAAGGCAGCAUACCGGUGCACAACUGACGCUCAGGCACGAAAGCGUGGGUAUCGAACAGGAUUAGAUACCCGUGUAGUC
Molecule: ribosomal RNA, 457 nt
Filed under: uncultured bacterium
Lineage: Bacteria
Description: partial 16S ribosomal RNA
Rfam family: Bacterial small subunit ribosomal RNA
Source: RNAcentral